Molecule: ribosomal RNA, 414 nt
Filed under: Pseudomonas sp. CL2.28
Lineage: Bacteria; Pseudomonadati; Pseudomonadota; Gammaproteobacteria; Pseudomonadales; Pseudomonadaceae
Description: bacterial SSU rRNA
Rfam family: Bacterial small subunit ribosomal RNA
Source: RNAcentral
CUCUGAUUCAGCGGCGGACGGGUGAGUAAUGCCUAGGAAUCUGCCUUGUAGUGGGGGACAACGUCUCGAAAGGGACGCUAAUACCGCAUACGUCCUACGGGAGAAAGCAGGGGACCUUCGGGCCUUGCGCUAUCAGAUGAGCCUAGGUCGGAUUAGCUAGUUGGUGAGGUAAUGGCUCACCAAGGCGACGAUCCGUAACUGGUCUGAGAGGAUGAUCAGUCACACUGGAACUGAGACACGGUCCAGACUCCUACGGGAGGCAGCAGUGGGGAAUAUUGGACAAUGGGCGAAAGCCUGAUCCAGCCAUGCCGCGUGUGUGAAGAAGGUCUUCGGAUUGUAAAGCACUUUAAGUUGGGAGGAAGGGCAGUAAGCGAAUACCUUGCUGUUUUGACGUUACCGACAGAAUAAGCACCG